UUUUGAACACUGGCCAUCUGCUCAGCUCUGACAGAGAAAGCACAGCAUUCAUUUCUACAGAACUACUCAAAAAGCGCAAAAGUGCUUUCACUGAAGAACAACAUACUUUGAAUUUGCAACAGCAAAAAAGAAGAAUGUAAGAGGACAAAAUGACAUAGAUGAUAUAAUUCAGAAACUGGGAAAAUAAAUCACUGUUACCCAAGGAAACUGGAGGAGGAUGAAAGAAGAAAAAUAUCCUGGCCUUUUUUUUUCCUCAUAUCCAACACUAGGAAGAAGCAUUGUACAGAAAAUUUAUUCUCCUAUCUUUGGACGUU
This is a long non-coding RNA of Pezoporus flaviventris, 314 nucleotides long. RefSeq lists it as uncharacterized. NCBI's taxonomy places the organism in Eukaryota, Metazoa, Chordata, Aves, Psittaciformes, Psittacidae. The record is from RefSeq and is a predicted model, not a curated record. The transcript is spliced from 2 exons.